GCACCCCUACAACUGUAAUUUCCAUUAGUGGUACACUAGAAUGUAAUUCAAUUCGGCAGGAACCAGUGGUCUUAAAUGCUCACACUAUACAAAAGCUUUGUUCUGUUUCAGAUGUAUUUUGAUAGGUGGCCAGACAGCAUAGAUUAGAUCCCGGGUCAGAUCUUGUCCCUGUCAACUCAGUCGUUGUGUGACCUCAGCUGGGGGCUGACCCUCUCUGGGCCUCAGAUGUGAUAUGGGAAGCACAGCAUCUACCUCAGUGGUGUUGUGAGACUCAGUGGCCAUACUGAUGGUCAAUGGCUCUGUCUGUCUGCGUAUCUAUCUAUCAUCUGUGUAUUUGAAAGAGGGCUUCACCUACCUCCAUUUUGACCUCAGUCUAUUCUUCUAAGUUCUUCCUUCCAGCUUAUCUUUGCUGAUUCAAAAUGAACAAAACUUUUAGAAUUGCUAAAAGAAGGAAAGAGAGUUUUCUUUGAGCCCAAGUUGGGACGGCUGUCCGGGAACCAUGCUCUUUACGGGGAAGAAAGUGCUCCGGAGAAUGAACACAUCUUACAGAGACUUUUAGAGCGCUUUUCUCUCGUCAUUUCUUAACUCGGGCAAAGGACCCAGCGGGCAAAGCAUCCCUUGAUGGAAACCGAAAUUACCCCCUCAAGCCACAGGGAACUGCCCUGAGCCUGCAAGCCCCCACGUGAUUGACCUCAAGAUAAUGAUCCACCUGACCUUGGCUGUCCAGCUGCAUGUACCCACCGACCCUUGUUCCACAUUUCCCUUGUAUAAACCUGGAAGUGUUUUCGGUACUUCGGAGACAACCCCUGAGAUGUUAGUCAGCUGUCUUCCCAGUGUUGGCGUCCCUGACAUAAAUUCCUUUCUGUGUCGCCACCAAA
Molecule: long non-coding RNA, 878 nt
Organism: Felis catus (domestic cat)
Lineage: Eukaryota; Metazoa; Chordata; Mammalia; Carnivora; Felidae
Exons: 2
Source: RefSeq, a predicted model, not a curated record